This 107-nucleotide small nucleolar RNA is filed under the name Sorghum bicolor (sorghum). RNAcentral's name for it is "Plant small nucleolar RNA R71". It matches the Rfam family "Plant small nucleolar RNA R71". From Rfam's summary of the family: R71 is a member of the C/D box family of snoRNAs containing the C (UGAUGA) and D (CUGA) box motifs. The record is from Rfam by way of RNAcentral. Lineage: Eukaryota; Viridiplantae; Streptophyta; Magnoliopsida; Poales; Poaceae.
AUUCCAUGAUGUGGACAUUUCUGAAUGUACUCCUGGAGAUGUUGCCAUGCUUCGGGAAUGGUCUCCUCUGCCUUUUGAUGGAAGCUAGAAAUUAUUGCCCAUAGAGC